CGGGUUGAUCAGAGGCACAAAAUAUAUUUAACUUGACCUUCAUAUUUCCAAAGGAUAUAUUCAUCACCCCAGUUCUACAAUUUAUACUCGCAUUGGCUGUAGCUAAAAAGGGGCGCCCAAGGAUCACAGGGAUUUGUUUCUUAGGAUUAGGCUCAUGUUCCAUAUCAAGGACGAUAAAAUCUACUGAAAAUAGAAUUUGUCUACCUUGACAAGAACAUCUUCAAUUAUCCCACGUGGUAUUUUUACAGAUCGAUUAGCCAAUUGAAGGGAUACCGAGGUUGGUUUUAACUCACCUAACCCAAGUUUCUCAUAAACUGAGUAAGGUAAAAGGUUGACACUUGCCCCUAGAUCUAAGAGUGCUCGAUCAAUGAAAUUAUUUUCUAAGACACAGGAGAUGGUGGGAGCACCAGGAUCUUUGAAUUUCGGAGGGGUGUUGUGUUGGAGAAUAGAACUCACUUGCUCAGUUAGGAAGACCUUUUUAGGCACAUGUGUCCUAUAUUUUCACUUUUGGGUACAAAGGUCUUUGAGAAAUUUGGCAUACGAGGGAACUUGUCUAAUAGCAUCAAGAAGCGGAAGGUUGAUUUUGACUUGUUUAAAAACCUCCAUCAUCUCCUCUAGUGAAGUUCCUUUCUUGCCAAAGGGAGUGGGUGCAUUAAGAGCUUCAGGAAAUGGAGCCUUUGGGAUGUGAGUUUUGGCCGAAGGUGGACUAACU
RNAcentral lists this long non-coding RNA (712 nucleotides) under Phoenix dactylifera (date palm). RNAcentral describes it as "long non-coding RNA (PDAC_LNC010069)". The record is from RNAcentral. Lineage: Eukaryota; Viridiplantae; Streptophyta; Magnoliopsida; Arecales; Arecaceae.